Molecule: long non-coding RNA, 7919 nt
Filed under: Brassica napus (rape)
Lineage: Eukaryota; Viridiplantae; Streptophyta; Magnoliopsida; Brassicales; Brassicaceae
Description: long non-coding RNA (BNAP_LNC022594)
Source: RNAcentral
UAUCCCCAGGAGAUCAAGCUCUGUCUCAUACUCUUCACAAACGUCGAUUCUCCCGGAUGCCGCCGAUGACUUCACCGUGGGAGACUGUCUCGUCUACGAGGACGGCGUCUUCGAAGACCCUUACCUCGAGGAGGAGGUCAGUCUCGAAGCGGUCAAAGAGCGGAAGAUUCCGAAGCGGCGGGGCAGGGGAAAGAGAAUAGUUCAAGCGGCGGCGGCGGCGGAGAUCGAGCCGGAGAACCUCGUGCCGGAUGAGUGGAGGGAUGUUCAGGCGGAGGUGAACCUGACGAAGAAGGACAAGAGGAAAAUAGCGCAGGAGCUGGAGUUCGGAGUGAGUGUGGAGAAGAAGAGGCAAGGGCUGAUUCCGCUGAGGAAGGUGGAUUUGAAGGAGUAUUUAACGUACAAGGAAGCCAAGCUGGAUCAGUUGAAACCUGUUGUUCUCGAUAAACCGACGACGUUUGAUGGAGAGGGAGGAGAGAGGGGUGAAGAAACGUAUUCGAGUGAGCGAGUAGCACCGAAGAACCCUAGAUGGGCGGUUUAUGGAAAAGGAUUCGAACAAGUCACCAAGUUCUUCAAUAGCGAUAAGUAUGAUCCCAGUGGCAAGAAGCUCGACGGCCCUCGGAAGCUGCUUUCUAAAGAAGAGAAGUUUAUGCUCAAUAGCCGAAAUCCUCACCUAGCUGUUGCCACCUCAGUAAGUGAUUUUUUCUUUUUUUUUUACUAUUUGAUUUUUGAGUUCUGUUUUAAGUUUGAACCAGCAGUAACCUAAUGUUGGUUGUGUUUUUCAGAAAAAGUGGCUUCCUCUUCACACACUGGCAGCUUCGGGAGAAUUUUAUCUGGUUGACUCCUUGCUUAAGCACAAUCUUGAUAUCAAUGCAACGGACGUGGUAUGUGGAUUUUUAUCUGAAUCUUUUGCUCUUUUUGUAUAUAAUCUAGUAGUGUUUUUUUUAAUAUAAUUUGUAUAUGGAAUCUAGGGCGGCUUGACAGCACUUCACCGAGCAAUAAUAGGUAAAAAACAGGCGAUUACAAACUACCUGCUGAGGGAAUCGGCAAACCCGUUUGUUCUUGAUGAUGUAAGUGGUCGGUCACCUUGUAAUAAUCUCUCUCCCUUGCUUCAGAUGCUGCUGCGAUCUGACUAGUUCGUUUAUGUGUUAGGAAGGUGCGACUUUGAUGCACUAUGCUGUGCAGACAGCAUCAGCUCCCACAAUAAAACUUCUCCUGCUGUAUAACGCUGACAUAAACGCGCAAGACAGGGUAAUGAUGUUAAAACAUUCUUAUAUUAGCGAAUCUGUCAGCUGGUUGGUUAACACAUUGUUUUUUCUUUUAAAUUUCAGGACGGGUGGACGCCCCUGCACGUUGCAGUACAGGCCAGAAGAAGCGACAUCGUGAAACUUCUUUUGAUAAAAGGGGCUGACAUACAAGUGAAGAACAAGGCUAGUUCCAUCACCUUCCCACUAGUCCGCUUUUGUAUUAUUAUUAUUAUUAUUAUGAUUCUGAUGAUGCUGUUUUUUUGUACUAAUCGGCUAGUUCCAUCACCUUCCCACUAGUCCGCUUUUGUAUUAUUAUCGUUAUUAUGAUUCUGAUGAUGCCGUUUUUUUUUGACUAAUUCCAACAGGAUGGGUUAACUCCGCUGGGCCUUUGCCUCUACCUUGGAAGAGAGACAAGGACGUAUGAAGUGUUGAAAAUGUUGAAAGAGUUUCCCCGUAGUAGACUCAAGAGAUUGGUAACGGAUUAAGCUUUACUGGACCACGCUCUCACAUUUUGGUCGGUGUUUUUCUUUUGCGUUUGUUUUCGCACCGGAAAUUAACAAAGCCGAAAUCAUAUUUACCCAAAAGAAUAUUACUACCUGUAUAAUAUGUAUAAUAUUAAUACUAGAUUUUGAUCCAGGCUUUCAAAACGCAUAAUUUUUUGUUGUUGAAUUAACCCAUCUGGUUUUUCUCUAAUAUGUUUAUACAUAGAUGUUUGAUGUUCAGUUCAGUUCAAUCUCGAUUUUGGUUUAGUUCUAGUUUGGUUGUGGUUAUCUGUUUCUCUAGUUCAAGAGAUAUAAAAACUGUUUAGUUAUUUUUGAAUGUGGGUUUGAUUUCAAUUUGGUUAUUUUGGCUUUCAGUUUGGUUUGAACAACAAUGUUAGAAACCCAAUAAAUUUUUUAGUUCAGUUCUUAUGAAAAAUGCAGGUAAAAAAAACUCUUUUUUAAAAAAGUUUUUUUUAUAAAAUAUCAGAUAAUUUGGAUAAAUUUAAAUAUUUUGAAAUAUAACAUUUGGGUGAUUUGUGUUAAUAGAGAAUUUAGGCUAAUUUUGAAUAUUCUUGAAUACCAAAUAAAAAUCAUUUAAAUCUCUAACAAAUCAAUUGUUAUAUUAGGUGAAAAUUACUAAUGAAAUAAUCUAAAUCUAGAUUUUGACCAGCACGUCCGUGCAGAUAUUUUAUUCAGUUAUAGAUGUUUAAAUAAGGGUGGAACAUAUCAGAUUUGGAUUCGACGGAUCCGUAGAUUAGUAUCUAGAUUAUUCGGAAAAAUAAUUAAAAAAAUUAAAAUACUAAUUUUUUUUAAAAAAUACAUACAUUAAAUAUUUAUACAACAUUAUCAAUAUAUAUUUAUAAGUAUAUAAUAUUAGAAAUUGAAAUAUAAUUUUAUAAAAAUAAUUUUAUGUAUAAAUAAAAUAUAUCAAAUAUAAUGAUUAGUAAAAUUUCAAAAUUAAUAUAUUUUAAAAUACGGAUCUUGAUCCGUAUAUCCAGAUCUAAAAAUCAAGAUACUCAUAUUCAGAUUCAGUUUUGGCGGAUCCAAGAUUUUACUAUUCGAAUCUGAAUUCAGACACCUCUGGUAUCAUAUUUUCAGAGUGGAUCUAAGAUCGAAUCCGACCUUAGAUAAUAAGUCUCAUGCCUAGUUUAAAACAUUUUAGAAAGGCCUAUUUUUAGGUUUUUAACAUUUUAGAAUGACCUCAACUUGUUUUUUCAUAUUUAGCUACUAAAUUUAUCUUUUAAUGAGAUUUUAAUAUCCAUAUCCGGAUUCAGAUGUUCCAGAUAUCCUAUUUUCAAAACGGAUCUCAGAUCGAGUCCAAAUUCUGAAUAAUAAGUCUCCUGUAUUGUUUUAAACAUUUUAGAAUGAUUCUAUUUUUAUGUUUUUAACAUUUUAGAACGACCUCAACUAGUUUGUUCAUGUUUAGCUACUGAAUUUAUUUUUUAAUGAAAUUGUUUUUUUCUACGACUGUGUGUUAAGUAAUCAUUUUAUUUUGUCAAAUAUUCUCUAUGUUUCAUAAUAAGUGUCAUUAUAACAUUUUUUAUUGUUAUGCAAAAAGUGUCACUUUAGAAUUUCAAUGUAAAUAAAUAUAUUUACUUUCAGCUGAAAAUUAAUUGCAAACUGCAUUGAUUUUAUAAAUAAUUUUAUUUAACUCAAAUAUUAUUGGUCAAAUGUGUGUAAUUAAUAACAAUUUUAAUACAUUUCAAUCAAUUUUUUAAUCUGUGUGAAAAAUGUCAAAGUGACACUUAUUAAAAAACGAAGGGAAUAUAACAAUAAAAUGCAGCAUAUUUGAGUUUUAAAUUACCUUUUAUUAUAUUAAAUCUAGAUAUGGUUAUUUAAAUUUGAAAUUUAUAUAUAAAGAUCAAAUUUUAUUUUUAUUAUAUUCGAAAUUAUUUUAUUAAAAAUUUUAUAUAUGAUUUAAAACAAUAUUAUUUGUUGGUAUAUGUUUUGAUAGAUUAUAUUUAUGUAUACAUUUGUUGCCAAUUUAGAUAGUUUGUGUGUGUAUGAAUGUGAUAAAAUUGUAAUAAUACAUAAAUAAAUUUUAGAAUUGUUUUGAUAAUUAGUCACCCCAACAAAAGAGAUAUUGUCGUAUAUGAUAAUAUACAUAUGAUGUCGGUUAAAAUUUUAAAACAAUCUCUCUUCACUCUCUGUUCUCUCUCUAGUAUCUCUCACAGAGAGGAAGAGAAGAGAUGAUAUCCCUUUUGUUUUUUGGUUUAUGAUCAUUAGAUCAGAGUUAUGUUCGGCUUGUCCGAGUAAAUAUUCCGGUUAGCGGAUUUCUUGUUUUCGCUAUGGCGAUUUUGUUGUGUUCUUCGAUCCGCAACAGAGUUGCUUCAAUUCGUCUUUUUUUUUCUCUGUUUUGUUGGAUCGAUUAAUAAAAUUUCGAGUCAGAGUUUCACUUCUCACUUCGUUCUUAAUUCUAUCCCGUAAAUACCAUCUCAGACACUUGCUUCACUGUCACUUUAACUGUUUUUUAGGAGAAUCAAUCUUCACUUUGUCUUUGCCAUCUAUGGUGUAUUGUGAAGCUUCUUCGAUUGAAAGAAAGUUAGGUAAGAUGGAAUUUUUUGGUCAUCUUUGGAGUAGAUUCAGCAGAGCCGGUGUUAUUUGUAACGGUCCGGCAUAGAGUCUUCCUUCAAUUUCGACUGAAGCUUCCUCAAGCUCAAUCUGGUGAAGCAAACUCCCUCUGCUUUGGUAGUUUACGGUUUAAGUGGAAAGUAUCUCAGGAUUUACAAGCAUAGAUCAUUGAACCGGCGGUGGUAGCUUGUUCUGAUGAGAACUUACGGCGGCGCACUAACACUGGAUCCUCAUCUUGGGCGGAGGCGUGUUACGAAAUUGGAGACGUGGCGAGUUUCUGACCUAGGACACUCAUGCAAGAGCGUUUGAUUACGCGUGUCUCUUAUUGCUUCUGCAGUCAACGCACGUUCCUUAAUACGACACUUUCUCGAAGAUAUUGAUCCAAAUCAAUAUAAUGGAUUGGGGAUUUGAGCUUUAAUUUUAAUUCGAGAUUGUAAAUGAUGGGGAUUGGUUUUAUGAUGUAUUGCUUGUAACUUUGUCCAUUGGGCCAAAGAAAUGAAAUCUAAAGUCGACAAAAAAAAAAAACAUAUGAUGUCGUUUGUAGGAAUUUGGACCCAUCAUUAAAGCCCACCAAAAUGAUUGCCGUUAACUAUAAUGUCCUAAUUUUAUUACCUUCGCCAGUUCGCUGGUUUUAUAAAUUUUAAAACGACAUUUUACAACCCAGUAGCAGUUUAUAGUAAAUAUUUAGAAAAAGACAAGGUAAAAUUUGUUUCGUACUUCUGUUUUAAUAGUUUAGAUUAAAUGUAUUUUUUAUAUAACUCAAAUCAAUCAAUAUAUAAUAUCACAUGAUAUCUUUUGGAAGUGGAGUUGAGUUGUUUUCCCAUAUGUGCCUUUAACAUCAGAGAGCUUACGCAAAUCAUCAAACUUGAGGAUUUUUGUGUCACCACAUAUGGUUCCUACAAUCAAAACUUUCUUGAUGGUUCAAUGACAUAAAUUUCAUAAGACCAAAAUCCAUAAUAAGAUGCUAUGAAACCGAAGUCUAACUACCUCUUGAUCGCUUUCAUCCUCUUUCUUAGAUGUUCCAGUUCCACAAAGCCAUUCAACAGAUUUUUUUUAUUUAUAUCCCUCCCUUACUUAAAAACUGUCGUUUUUGAUUCUUGAUGAUAUUUUCUCUGAUCGAUGGGAUUGUCUUAGAGAAAAAGGAUCUUUAAUGAUGUUUAGGCCAUAAGUUUUAUGCCAUGACUGCAACAUUUUCUUCGGAAGAACUAUUUCAGAUAUAUUCCAAUAGAUUAACGGAAAAGAGAGCGAGGUGAAGAGGGCAGAAGAAAAAGGGUUGUGAUGUAUAAUUAGGGUAUUGUUAGUUUUAAAUGUUUAGUUUUUUUUUUUUUUUUUUUUUUUUUUUUUUUUUAAAAAAGAAAUAAACAUACCUCAAUAAUUAGAUCAAAUCUUGUACUCGUGUACACGCAACCACUUUGUGGAUGACCACUUGUUCCCUUUGAUUACAGCACAUCCACCUGCACAAAGUGGAUCAAAUAACUAAUAUCAUAAAAUCCACUGUAGGACAAACACAGCUCCCAAUCCAUCUAAAACUUAUCUAUAUCUACUGACCGUGAAGACUAGAUGGGUCUAGAGUGGCGUCAGGUGUCAUGCUCCAGAAAAGCAAUGCAUCUCCCAUCUUUGGUUUCACGGACAGCCCUCCUUUCCCGCACUCUGACAGCUCAUUCCACCACGGCACUGCGCUAUAGUUUCCCUUGGCUGAGGGAAACACUGUCUCACCCCCCUCCUCUACAUCUGACCUGCACAGUAGCUAAACAGCGUUAAAAAAAAAAGAAAAAAGAAAAAGAACACAACAGCAACAUCUUGUUGGAGUCCAAAGUCUAUUCAGUUACAUACAGGUACAUGAGAACAGUGGCAAUCCGCUGCCCUCCGUUCCUAGUGUUAUACUCAUCCAUAAAGUAGUCAUAGUGAGGCUCGUACUUUUGCCCUAUUUCAUAGUGCAGAACUUGAAGACCUUCCCCAUGCUCUGCACAUUGUAAGAACCAGUCAAGCAUAUGCUCCACAAAGAGCUGACCCUAAGGAGAAAUGGGAUUUUAAGAAAAGGUAAAAAUAAUAAAGUCUUUCAAGCACAUACCAACUGGUAUGAAGGUAAAAUCUGAUAUCCUUUUCUCGAUUUGACGGAUGAUUUUGUCGCGUCCUCUUGGAAGAAAAGUCCCAGAGCUCGUUCUCACCCUAUUGAGGAGAAGUGGAUGUCAGUAAAAGAGAGGAGGAAAGAAGCCUACUGAUGAUUCACUUGAUAGUUGAAGGAAGACCUGCUAUCUGUGCUCUUUCCAGUCUUCUGAUCGACAACAGUUGACUUCUCCAUAUGCGGUUUAGCUAGCUCUAUUAGAUACUUGCAUUCCUCCUUCGUCUAUCGUGAAUAAUAAUUAACACACGUCCCUAGUCAGUUAGCACACACUAACAACAACUAAUGAAAAUCACUUCCCUAGUUUUACUUUUUCUUUCAAAUCACAGCUAGUGAUCAUAAUAUCACCUACUCUACGGAAUCAAUUGUUGAUAUCUACUGAAAAAAAACAGAUUCGCUCACCAAGAAAUUGUGGUAAAUAGAAGCUCUGGGUUCCCAAGAUAUAAUUUCAACCCAACGCUCAUUCUCCGAAGCAUCUUUGCCGCUUCUGCGGAAUAAAAAGAAUACCAAAGAUGAUGAUAAAUAAACACGCCAGAUCUUAUAUUUGAAUCGGGAUUUUUUUUGGUACCUCUGAAGGUUUUUACGGACAAUGGAAGUGAGAUCAUUGGCCUUGGAUGACCCGCCAUUGUUGCUGGGCAGCGAGAGAAUUCCAAGCGCGAGAAGGAACAAAAUCACGAAAGUGAACAUAAUCAACACCGCGAAGACGAGGGUUGAGUACGACGUUUUCCGACGGUGAUGAUUCCUCUGUCGCGCCAUCAUUUUUGCAAAGGAUCGAUUUCUCAGAUCCGAAAGAAGCAGAGAGGAGCAGCAGUAAGCAAAUCCUCUGCGUAGGAGAGAUUAAACAAACAAACCGGAUGACGGAAGAGGCUUUACAUAGACGGGCCUCAGGCCCAUUUAAUUAGGCCCAAUAAGGGAAGGUGCUUUUCGAAUGAAUGGCAAAAAUAAUCGUCUUCAUCCCCAGAGAGAGAAUCCGAUAAGGCGAGAGAGAGAGAGAGAGAGAAUGCAGCUCGCCACCACCAUUUCUCUACUCCUGCCAUCUCCAUCUCGACUCUCUCCUUCUCUUCAGUCGCUGACUAUCCCCAGGAGAUCAAGCUCUGUCUCAUACUCUUCACAAACGUCGAUUCUCCCGGAUGCCGCCGAUGACUUCACCGUGGGAGACUGUCUCGUCUACGAGGACGGCGUCUUCGAAGACCCUUACCUCGAGGAGGAGGUCAGUCUCGAAGCGGUCAAAGAGCGGAAGAGUCCGAGGCGGCGGGGCAGGGGAAAGAGAAUAGUUCAAGCGGCGGCGGCGGCGGAGAUCGAGCCGGAGAACCUCGUGCCGGAUGAGUGGAGGGAUGUUCAGGCGGAGGUGAACCUGACGAAGAAGGACAAGAGGAAAAUAGCGCAGGAGCUGGAGUUCGGAGUGAGUGUGGAGAAGAAGAGGCAAGGGCUGAUUCCGCUGAGGAAGGUGGAUUUGAAGGAGUAUUUAACGUACAAGGAAGCCAAGCUGGAUCAGUUGAA